Molecule: ribosomal RNA, 491 nt
Filed under: uncultured bacterium
Lineage: Bacteria
Description: partial 16S ribosomal RNA
Rfam family: Bacterial small subunit ribosomal RNA
Source: RNAcentral
AGUGAACGCUGGCGGUAGGCCUAACACAUGCAAGUCGAACGGCAGCACAGUAAGAGCUUGCUCUUACGGGUGGCGAGUGGCGGACGGGUGAGGAAUACAUCGGAAUCUACUUUUUCGUGGGGGAUAACGUAGGGAAACUUACGCUAAUACCGCAUACGACCUACGGGUGAAAGCAGGGGAUCUUCGGACCUUGCGCGAUUGAAUGAGCCGAUGUCGGAUUAGCUAGUUGGCGGGGUAAAGGCCCACCAAGGCGACGAUCCGUAGCUGGUCUGAGAGGAUGAUCGGCCAAACUGGAGUUGGGAACGGGCCCAGCUUCUAAGGGGAGGAGGAGGGGGGGAUAUUUGGCCAAUGGGGGAAAGCCUGACCAAGCAAUACGGCGGGGGGGAAGAAGGCCUUCGGGUUGUAAAGCCUUUUUGUUGGGAAAGAAAAGCAGCAGGUUAAUCCCCCGCUGUUCUGCCGGUACCAAAGAAUAAGCACCGGCUAACUUCGUG